This 253-nucleotide ribosomal RNA is filed under the name uncultured bacterium. RNAcentral describes it as "partial 16S ribosomal RNA". It matches the Rfam family "Bacterial small subunit ribosomal RNA", at positions 524 to 776 of the family's 1533-position model. The record is from RNAcentral.
UACGUAGGUGGCGAGCGUUGUCCGGAUUUACUGGGCGUAAAGGGAGCGUAGGCGGACUUUUAAGUGGGAUGUGAAAUACUCGGGCUCAACUUGAGUGCUGCAUUUCAAACUGGAAGUCUAGAGUGCAGGAGAGGAGAAUGGAAUUCCUAGUGUAGCGGUGAAAUGCGUAGAGAUUAGGAAGAACACCAGUGGCGAAGGCGAUUCUCUGGACUGUAACUGACGCUGAGGCUCGAAAGCGUGGGGAGCAAAUAGG